This 46-nucleotide non-coding RNA is filed under the name Schistosoma curassoni. The record is from RNAcentral. Lineage: Eukaryota; Metazoa; Platyhelminthes; Trematoda; Strigeidida; Schistosomatidae.
GCACUACUGAAUAGUCCCACAAUAGGACGAAACGGCCGCCCAGUAC